This 253-nucleotide ribosomal RNA is filed under the name uncultured bacterium. RNAcentral's name for it is "partial 16S ribosomal RNA". It matches the Rfam family "Bacterial small subunit ribosomal RNA", at positions 524 to 776 of the family's 1533-position model. The record is from RNAcentral.
GACGGGGGGGGCAAGUGUUCUUCGGAAUGACUGGGCGUCAAGGGCGCGUAGGCGGCCUGCUAAGUAGGGGGUGAAAUCCUGCGGCUUAACCGCAGGGCUGCCUUCUAAACUGUCAGGCUCGAGCACAGUAGAGGCAGGUGGAAUUCCCGGUGUAGCGGUGGAAUGCGUAGAGAUCGGGAAGAACAUCAGUGGCGAAGGCGGCCUGCUGGGCUGUUGCUGACGCUGAGGCGCGACAGCGUGGGGAGCAAACAGG